This is a long non-coding RNA of Gorilla gorilla gorilla (western lowland gorilla), 374 nucleotides long. RefSeq lists it as uncharacterized. The transcript is spliced from 2 exons. NCBI's taxonomy places the organism in Eukaryota, Metazoa, Chordata, Mammalia, Primates, Hominidae. The record is from RefSeq and is a predicted model, not a curated record.
CACAGUCUAGCUGGCAAUGGGGUCAGGAGACGUUUUGCUACUUCACAUCUUUUGGUCACUGGUAAAUAUUAAGUUUCCUCAGAUUAGAAGGGAGAGAAAUGCACACACAUGAUCCACCAGCCCGUGUGGGAUUCCCUCUGCCCUUCUGGCAUCUGAAGGCUGUGAUUCAAAGAUCCCCCCUGCAACCUUUCCACAAAUGAACCAACUGAUUCUCACAACCGAAGGGAGAAUUGACACCUCCCAUUCAGGGACAAAAAAAAGUCACACUCUGGCCUGCUGGCAAGUCACCUGUCAUUUCCAGCUCAUCUUCAUAGUUCCAUAGUUAGUCCUAUUCUUUAGUAAAUAUAAAGACUAUUAAAAGCUUCUAUGAGGUG